Molecule: RNA transcript, 834 nt
Organism: Brassica napus (rape)
Lineage: Eukaryota; Viridiplantae; Streptophyta; Magnoliopsida; Brassicales; Brassicaceae
Exons: 6
Source: RefSeq, a predicted model, not a curated record
CGUGGUAAGUGUGUAUUGGGUCGUGCUCAGAUGAGAAGGAAAAAAAAAACCGAUCACCAAGUUCUUCCUCUCGUGUUCUGUCUCUCUCUCUGGUUCCCAAAAUUCGCCUGCUUCAGAGACGAAUCGAAGAGGGUGUUUGGUGACGCCACCGGAAUUAUCUAUUGGGAAAAUGGACGCCGGAGCUGAAGUUGAUGUGGACCGGACGGUGGAUGCGGAAUCUGGGUUGAAGAAAGCCAGCGGCGGAAGAUUGGAGCCGUCUUCUUCGAAUCAGGGGGAGAUAUUGGGAACACUUGCUACGGUGGAGGAGGAUUCACAAGCAAUCGCGGAGAGCUUCUCGUCUCUCUUCGUUUCCCUCCGAUCGACUCUCUCUGAGGCUACAGGAAGCUCAGUUGAUCACAUGACUUGCUUUGGAGAUGCAGCUGGACGCCUUCAGGAAACCGCUCUAGAUGCAUCCACUAAAGGGAACCGCUACAUCAACUCUUGCCUCAGAUUAAACGAGGAAAUUAAAGGCGUUGAUACUCUGGCGGCUCGGUUAAAGCAGCUGAGGAGAAAUAUGGAUGUUCUUGACACGGCUGUGAACAAGCUUCUCCGUCCUCCAUGACAAGUCAUUAUUAGCUUUCAUGGACUUGGAUCACUUAUCUCUCGUACAUAGAGUUUCAGGAAACGCAAUCAAGACUCAGAUGAUAAAUACCGAAAUAUAUGGCUUCAUCAUCAUCAGUAUGAUGAUUUCACAUGCUAGUUUCAAUGGGUCGUUUUGCUUUUUAUUUUUAUCAUUAUUAGAAGUUGUUAUUCAAGGACCCAUUUUGGCCGCACCAAUCAAAUCAGUUUGAGAUU